GCCCACAAGGCCCAAGCCCUGAUCCCGCACUUCAGAACGCUUGGGAGGCUCAAUGGAGUCCUAGCAGGAGCCGGCAAGUUCAAAGAGCUCUGGCCUGUGACUCGCGCCCAGCCCCAUGUGAGCAGCACACAGAAUCUUUUGUGGCUCAACAGGGCCUCUCCUAAACCCCAUUCAGGUCAAUUGGAGUCUCCACUGACUUCAGUGGGCAUUGGAUCUGGCCCACAGUUUUACUACUACUACACCUUUAGGCCCCCCUGGGAUGCCAUUUCUGCUAAGAAGAAAUAACUGUAUUUUAAAUGGGAGCAUGAUGAAGUGAAGUACCUCCUUGGAAGCCAGAACUUCUGAAGUCUAGUUCUAGCUCUGAUAUGGUCUUGCUGAGUUGGUCUAAGCAAGAAACUUAAACCUAAAAAUUGUUUUUUAUCAAAAGUGGUCUCUAGAGUCCUGAUCCUGCAUCGUCAGUCAAUGGGAGCUUUGCCAUUUACUUCAGUGAGCGUAGGAUCAAGCCCUAAUUUGGGAUGCCAAACUCCUGAAACCCAAGACAAAAUUUCCUAAUACCCAACUACUGUUGACUUCACUUGGAGUUGUAGGGGAGCAGCACCUCUGAAAAUCAAGAGUAUCCAAAACUGAGGAAUUCAAAAUUUGUGGCCAUUUUUGCAAAUAUAGGCUUCAGCCUCUCUGUCUCUCAAUCUGUAAAACUGAGAUAAUACUAUACCUAGCUUACAGAGGUGUUGUCAGGAUUUAAUGUGUGUAUUGAAUAUGUAGUGCUGUAUAAUUGUGUAUUAAAAAAAUUCAAUGAUUUAUAUCCUCCCUCAGGGCUCAGUAUCUUACUCAUGGUGAGUAUCUCACCAUUCUUGUCAUGUCAAUGAAGGUGGGGUAGUUGAAAUAUGUGCAUCACAUAUUGCAAAAAAAUACUAACAUCAACACCAGUAUUGCCAUAUUAGUGAAAUGCUACAUAAGAAGUAAUGUCUUCUAGUGGAUAAGACCUUGUAUUUCCUGGCUCAGCCACUGACCAGUCCUGUGACCUUGGACAGAUCAUUUAAUCUUUCUGUACAUCUGUCCCUCCUUUGUCUUGUCUAGUUAGCGUGUAAGCUCUUCAGGGCAGGGACUGUCUCAAACUAUGUGUUUUUGCUUAGCAAAAUGGGACCCUCCUCUCACGUUGGCCUCUCGGAGCUAAUGGAAUACAAAUAAUUGCACAUUGUUGCAGUUUGUUAUUCCAUGAAUACAUAUAACUUCCUGACAGUGAAAUAUAUUAGGGUUGGAAGUUCCGUUGCUUGGGAUUUUAAAACUCAACUGGACAAAAUACUUUAGAGAACAAUCCUGCAUCAGUAAAGGGAUGGAAAGAAUUGUCUGAAAAGUCUUUUCUACUUUUAAGUUCUAUGAUUCAAUCCCAAGAAAAACUUCUUCCAAAGAGCCAUCAAUCCAUCCAGUAAUUCAGGCAACACUAUCCCAGUAAAGUUCUUGAAAGAAAUAAUAAUGUUAUAUUUAUGAAUUGAUAGAAUUAACAUGACAUAAACUUAAUUUCACCAAUCCCCCUUAACACGAUUCAGAUUUUGAGUAAUUCGCAGUGGUUGCUAAUGCUAUUUCUGCCACUUUUUGAUUUCUGGUCACUCUUGGUUUCUGAUGCUAAGCACUAUUGCUAAAGGAAAUGGGCUAACAAUCUGCUGUUGCCUAUACCUGUCUCAGAAGAAAGAGCACCAGAGAUUUUCAGAAGUUUUACAACAAUGGACUAUUGUAAUCGAAGCCAAAUAAAAAUUAAUUUAUAGUCAAAGAAGAAUGCCCUGGUUUUAGUCUCACAGCACUAUCAUGUGGCACGCUUGAAACUAACAAAGUACCUGGGAAAUAUCAAACUUUCUUUCUUUGCUGUACUUAUAUGCACUUAGCUAGCAAAUAUGCUUGCUAAAACAACAAUUAAAAAAAGGAAGGGCUACAUACAGUGAACAUCUGGAACAAUGAAAUGCUGGGCCUAAUCCUUCUCUUGUGGAAAUCUGUAUCAGCAAAUUCCCCUCAUGACUUGUUGCUUAAUUUAAACAUCCUUUUAAAAUAAUAAGGCCCAUAGGGACUUGUUUGAAUGUCACAUAACAGAGAGACAAAAUAAUAAUGUUUUACACCCUUCUCUUUAAGUUACACUACCAAACUUUUCACUUGUAAUUCACUGCUGGUAGAAUUGGAGAAGUAUGGCUUUGAAGAUUGCUGUUGUAGAUGUAGCCUUUAUUAAAGAACUUUUCAAAUAACUUUAUAAUAUUAUAUAAUUAAUAACUCACCUGCUACAUCCGUAUGAAGUAGGUGAGUGUUUUUCUCUUCAUUAGACAGAUGGGAAAACAGAGAGAGAGGUUAAGUGACUUACCCAAGGACACAGCGAAUCUGUGUCAGGACAGGGAAUGGAACUUGAGUUCUUGGUUCUCAUGGCCUGUGCCUAGACCACAUUUCUCAAUACCGUGUGUAUGCCCUUGUGUAUUUGGAUAGCUCAGAAUAGUUUCAAAAGGAAACAACUUGGGAGGUUAAGAAGAAGCAUUCCUUAUGGGCAUUUUAUUUCAUAAUUACUC
Long non-coding RNA from Chelonia mydas (Green sea turtle), 2543 nucleotides. RefSeq lists it as uncharacterized. The transcript is spliced from 3 exons. Lineage: Eukaryota; Metazoa; Chordata; Testudines; Cheloniidae. The record is from RefSeq and is a predicted model, not a curated record.